Molecule: ribosomal RNA, 252 nt
Filed under: uncultured bacterium
Lineage: Bacteria
Description: partial 16S ribosomal RNA
Rfam family: Bacterial small subunit ribosomal RNA
Source: RNAcentral
UACGGAGGAUCCAGCGUUAUCCGGAUUUAUUGGGUUUAAAGGGUGCGUAGGCGGCCUGUUAAGUCAGGGGUGAAAGACGGUAGCUCAACUAUCGCAGUGCCCUUGAUACUGAUGGGCUUGAAUGUACUAGAGGUAGGCGGAAUGUGACAAGUAGCGGUGAAAUGCAUAGAUAUGUCACAGAACACCAAUUGCGAAGGCAGCUUACUAUGGUAUUAUUGACGCUGAGGCACGAAAGCGUGGGGAUCAAACAGG